RNAcentral lists this long non-coding RNA (1138 nucleotides) under Lepisosteus oculatus (spotted gar). Its description in RNAcentral is "lncRNA (ENSLOCG00000021349.1)". The record is from RNAcentral. Lineage: Eukaryota; Metazoa; Chordata; Actinopteri; Semionotiformes; Lepisosteidae.
GGCCCCGCAGAGUGGCUAUUUAUGGAAUUUUGUUCAGGGCUUGUGCUACUUUAGUUUCUCUCUCUCUCUCUGUGCUGUGUCACCCCGCCUUUCAGAAUGACUCUGUACACUGCCCUUUAGUUCCUCUUUCACUUAUUUAUUGAUGCAGUGUCCUUGAGAGAAAAUCCACGUGUUGCCCUGCGACAUAAUUAUGUGUAGAUAAGCUCGGGUUGCUUCACUUUUUCCAAACCCUGGAACUUUAAAUGCUGCCCGGAAGGCCUUUGCUUGCCCAGCUCAGCCUUUUCCUCGUUCCAAGAAAAGCAUUCCUCACAAAUCGCGGAGCCAGACCCCGCAGUGGAAUGAUGUGUCUUUGCUGUUCUGUCAGGAAAUUCCAGGACGACACCUUUUGUUGCAAAUUCCACCUGGGCGCUAGCAGAACUGAUGAACUGAUGGACAAGGUUCUGGCGAUCUGUUGACCUCACAACCGCGAGGGGCGGCAGAGUAAAAUAAUAUUCAACCGUUUCUACUGAGAUGAGAAUCGGAACGACAGAGCGAGACUAGACUUCACCUCCUGGGAAAGCUGAGGCCGCUGCUGGAAGAGGUGUUCGUGCAGCCAGUAGGGGGCGCUCACCCUGCGGGCAGUGUGGCUCCUAAUGCCCCAGUAACGGGUGACGGGGACACUGUACUGUAAAAAAGGCGCCGUGCUUCGGAUGAGACGUAAGCCCGAGGCCCUGACUCUUUGUGGUUAUUAAAAAUGACAGGGAGUUUCUCGAGAAGAGUAGGGGUGUUACCCCGGUGUCCUAAUAAACCCCUAAUAAACCCCAUCUCUGAACUGGCUUCAUCCCUCUGCUCUCCUCCCCACUGAGAGCUGGUGUGUGGGGAGCGGACUGGAGCAUCAUCCAGGUGGGGGUACACACUGGUGCUGGUGGAGGGGAUCCCCAUGACCUGUACAAGAGAUAACCGAGUACAUGAUCUCCUGUCAUCAGAACACAGGACACAGGACACAACUGCUCCAGGGGCGCUGUAUAAAAGGCUGACCCUGCGCUCUGACCCCCAGCUUCUCUCCCUGUCUGUGUGUCUCAUGGAGAGCAAGCUGGGGUAUGUGAAAAGAUCAUUCCUAAUGCACAAAACUGUAAAGGGUUAAUAAAGUGAUGUUGUU